AUACAACCAUUCACAUCCUCACCUAACCACCUCUUCCUCACGCCGCCGCCCGUCCCCGUCCGUCAUAACGGCGGCGUCCAUCCACUAUUAUUCUCCACACACCAACUCGCCGUCUUGCUAUCUCGCCAAGCCUCACCGUUCCGCCGCCGCAAUCUCUACAAACAUAGCAAUCUAAAUAACAUAACAUUUAAAUACAAGCGACGGCGAGAGGAACAUGGAGACAUUUAAAUUCAAGACUCUCAUUCAUCAUCGAUCUAUUCAUAAAAUAAAUUUUAGUAAUUAACACACCGUCACUGUGAGGAACGGUAGUGGCGGCGGUGGAGCGACGGCGAGAGGAACAUGGAGGAGAGAUGGCGAUGAGGUGAAGAUGAAAAGACUUUCUGUUUUAAUUUGUUUUUAAUUUUUAAAUAUGUAAGUAUAAUCUUUAAAUUCCAGCCGUCAGUGGAUGGACACCGCCGUUAUGACAUCCGGGGAGGGGCGGCGGCAUGAGGAAGAGGUGGUGAGGUGAGGAUGAGAUGAUGGUUGUAUCUCUGAAACAAGAUGAAGAAGAAGACACGCUAUUUCCCUUUAUGUUUUUUUUUUAUCAAAACAAUUACUUAAUUAUAAGUUUUAAUCUCAGCCAUUCAGUUUAUUUUUGCCACAUG
This 644-nucleotide long non-coding RNA is filed under the name Trifolium pratense (red clover). RNAcentral describes it as "long non-coding RNA (TPRA_LNC003430)". The record is from RNAcentral. Lineage: Eukaryota; Viridiplantae; Streptophyta; Magnoliopsida; Fabales; Fabaceae.